This 514-nucleotide ribosomal RNA is filed under the name uncultured soil bacterium. Its description in RNAcentral is "bacterial SSU rRNA". It matches the Rfam family "Bacterial small subunit ribosomal RNA", at positions 26 to 537 of the family's 1533-position model. The record is from RNAcentral.
AGAUUGAACGCUGGCGGCAGGCCUAACACAUGCAAGUCGAGCGGUAGAGAGGUGCUUGCACCUCUUGAGAGCGGCGGACGGGUGAGUAAUGCCUAGGAAUCUGCCUAGUGGUGGGGGAUAACGUUCGGAAACGGACGCUAAUACCGCAUACGUCCUACGGGAGAAAGCGGGGGACCUUCGGGCCUCGCGCCAUUAGAUGAGCCUAGGUCGGAUUAGCUAGUUGGUGAGGUAAUGGCUCACCAAAGGCGACGAUCCGUAACUGGUCUGAGAGGAUGAUCAGUCACACUGGAACUGAGACACGGUCCAGACUCCUACGGGAGCAGCAGUGGGGAAUAUUGGACAAUGGGCGAAAGCCUGAUCCAGCCAUGCCGCGUGUGUGAAGAAGGUCUUCGGAUUGUAAAGCACUUUAAGUUGGAGGAAGGUCUAGUAACUUAAUACGUUGACUAAUUGACGUUACCGACAAGAAUAACGACGACCGGACUUAACCGUCGUACGCCGACGACACGACCCGUAA